AUCGAUGAAGAACGCAGCGAAGUGCGAUAAGCAAUGCGAAUUGCAGAACCGUGAGUCAUCAGAUUUUUGAACGCAACUGGCACUGAUUGGAAACCCAAUCAGUAUGCUUGUUUCAGUGUCUUUUUAUCUCAUCACCCAAAUCAUAAUGCGAGAGAUACCCUUCUCUUGUUAAGCAUGAAAGCACUCUGCGCUCUGCGAGCGACUUCGAUUCGUCGAUGGUCGCACUCAAUGCAGCAGUCACAUUGCUCACAAUGUGAACUCAUUGAGAGCUGAGGCAGUGCGGCGAAAGCUGCCAGUGCUUAGUCACUCAAACUUUAUUUGCAUCUGAAAUCAAGCAGGAUCACCCGCUGAACUUAAG
RNAcentral lists this ribosomal RNA (358 nucleotides) under uncultured fungus. RNAcentral's name for it is "eukaryotic LSU rRNA". The stretch from base 1 to 121 matches the Rfam family "5.8S ribosomal RNA", at positions 32 to 154 of the family's 154-position model. The record is from RNAcentral. Lineage: Eukaryota; Fungi.